UACGGGGGGGGCAAGCGUUGUUCGGAAUUACUGGGCGUAAAGGGCGCGUAGGCGGCUUUUCAAGUCGGGCGUGAAAUCUCCAGGCUUAACCUGGAAGGGUCGUUCGAUACUGUUAAGCUAGAGUGUGGAAGAGGCUACUGGAAUUCCGGGUGUAGCGGUGAAAUGCGUAGAUAUCCGGAGGAACACCGGUGGCGAAGGCGGCUUCCUGGACCGACACUGACGCUGAGGCGCGAAAGCUAGGGGAGCAAACGGG
Molecule: ribosomal RNA, 253 nt
Filed under: uncultured bacterium
Lineage: Bacteria
Description: partial 16S ribosomal RNA
Rfam family: Bacterial small subunit ribosomal RNA
Source: RNAcentral